CCUACAAUUUACUCUCCGCUACCGUCAAAGCUGUCGGCUGCGAUGUAACUCAGCAGCUGUUGCGCUCCUUUGUCAUCACUCAUUUACGCCUGAAGAAGCCUUCUACUCUCCGUGGCAUUCGAAAAUGAGGUCUCUCACAGAUAAUGAAACGAAAAAGCUCUUUGACAAGCUUGCACAGUACAUCGGGGUCAACACAACACAUUUGCUGGAGCGAAAAGGCGAGGAGGAGCACGUCUUUCGCCUCCACAAGAAUCGUAUUUGGUACAUGCCUCUGCGUCUCGCAAAGCUUGCAAGCUGUGUGUCCAAGACAAAUCUAAUGGGUAUCGGCGUUUUAUUCGCCAAGGUUACUCACAACGGAAACGUACGCAUUCAGGUGACAGCGCUAGAGUACAUCGCGCAGUACUCACUCUUUAAGAUUUGGGUAAAGCCGAACCAGGAGCAGAGGUUCCUGUACGGUGGAAACGUCAGUCGCGCAGGCCUUGGCCGUAUCACCGAGUCGACACCGAAGUACCAAAAGGUCGCCGUCUUUUCAAUGGGCGACAUCCCAUUAGGUUUCGGUGUCGCGGCCCAAAGCACGCUUGAGUGCCGAAAGUGCGAAAUGAACUCGCAGGUGCUUUUUCAUGAGGCGGAUGUUGGUGAGUACUUGCGUGAUGAGGCUCGCAUGACAUAGGAGGAUCCCUUUAGCGAAGAAGCGGCUCUGCGUUCCACAGGCGCUUCCCGAGUCUCUCGUGGUUUGCAGAAGAGAGUUUGUCUGUUUAUCUGACAGGCGGUUACGUGUGUGCGGCAGUGCACGUACCCUCUUGACGGCAACGUUUAAUGCUGUUAAUGCCCUGUAAAAUGAAAGAAAAAGGUUUAAGCAGAGCGUGUCUGACGCUAGCGUCAGACACUUUUUCCUUCUUUUUUUUUUCUGAGGAUCCAAAUCACCGUGAGCACUUCUCUCUGUUAGAUCACUGCUCUUGUGCUUCCUCGUGAGACAGGCGACUCAAAGGGUUACGCAGUAGAGGCUGUUUGGCGGCACCACGAUUGCGCAUUGAGUAUGGGCAUUCUGUGAGGCGUUUAUAUGAUGAUUCUGUGGAACUUUCUCUUCCUUUCUUUCGUGCUGCCUUUUACGUGUUCAUACCGCUUCGCUCUCCGCUGUUUGGUUUGCUUGCGCAUGGUUUUCCUUAG
This 1167-nucleotide unclassified non-coding RNA is filed under the name Leishmania donovani. RNAcentral's name for it is "gene:LdHU3.33.2130(CDS-product:hypothetical_prote in_conserved)". The record is from RNAcentral. Lineage: Eukaryota; Euglenozoa; Kinetoplastea; Trypanosomatida; Trypanosomatidae.